UCCCUCAUAGCUCAGUCGGUAAAGAAUCUGCCUGCAAUGCAGGAGACCCAGGUUCGAUUCCUGGGUCGGGAA
Molecule: transfer RNA, 72 nt
Filed under: Muntiacus reevesi (Reeves' muntjac)
Lineage: Eukaryota; Metazoa; Chordata; Mammalia; Artiodactyla; Cervidae
Also listed under: 3 other names
Rfam family: tRNA
About the family: Transfer RNA (tRNA) molecules are approximately 80 nucleotides in length. Their secondary structure includes four short double-helical elements and three loops (D, anti-codon, and T loops). Further hydrogen bonds mediate the characteristic L-shaped molecular structure. tRNAs have two regions of fundamental functional importance: the anti-codon, which is responsible for specific mRNA codon recognition, and the 3' end, to which the tRNAs corresponding amino acid is attached (by aminoacyl-tRNA synthetases). tRNAs cope with the degeneracy of the genetic code in two manners: having more than one tRNA (with a specific anti-codon) for a particular amino acid; and 'wobble' base-pairing, i.e. permitting non-standard base-pairing at the 3rd anti-codon position.
Source: Rfam by way of RNAcentral